GACGAACGCUGGCGGCGUGCCUAACACAUGCAAGUCGAGCGAAUGAAGUUCCUUCGGGAACGGAUUUAGCGGCGGACGGUGAGUAACACGUGGGCAACCUACCUCAUAGAGGGGAAUAGCCCUUCCGAAAGGGAGAUUAAUACCGCAUAAGAUUGUAGUACCGCAUGGUACAGCAAUUAAAGGAGCAAAUCCGCUAUGAGAUGGGCCCGCGGGCGCAUUAGCUAGUUGGUGAGGUAACGGCUCACCAAGGCGACGAUGCGUAGCCGACCUGAGAGGUGAUCGGCCACAUUGGGACUGAGACACGGCCCAGACUCCUACGGGAGGCAGCAGUGGGGAAUAUUGCACAAUGGGGGAAACCCUGAUGCAGC
This 368-nucleotide ribosomal RNA is filed under the name uncultured bacterium. Its description in RNAcentral is "bacterial SSU rRNA". It matches the Rfam family "Bacterial small subunit ribosomal RNA", at positions 28 to 392 of the family's 1533-position model. The record is from RNAcentral.